Molecule: ribosomal RNA, 465 nt
Filed under: uncultured bacterium
Lineage: Bacteria
Description: partial 16S ribosomal RNA
Rfam family: Bacterial small subunit ribosomal RNA
Source: RNAcentral
GAUGAACGCUGGCGGCGUGCUUAACACAUGCAAGUCGAACGAUGAAGCCCAGCUUGCUGGGUGGAUUAGUGGCGAACGGGUGAGUAACACGUGAGUAACCUGCCCUUAACUCUGGGAUAAGCCUGGGAAACUGGGUCUAAUACCGGAUAGGAGCGUCCACCGCAUGGUGGGUGUUGGAAAGAUUUAUCGGUUUUGGAUGGACUCGCGGCCUAUCAGCUUGUUGGUGAGGUAAUGGCUCACCAAGGCGACGACGGGUAGCCGGCCUGAGAGGGUGACCGGCCAAACGGGGACUGAGAACCGGCCGAGGCCCCUAGGGGGAGGAGGGGGGGGGAAUUUGGCAAAAGGGGCGAAAGCCUGAUGCAGGGGCGCGGGGUGGGGGAUGAGGGCCUUCGGGUUUAAAACUCCUUUGAGUGGGAAAGAAGGGAAGGGGAGGGAACCGGCAAGAGAAGGACCGGCAAACUCGGG